GAAACUAAUAACUACUGAAAAAAAUGGUUCAUAAGGCCUGUACUAUUUACGUGAUUCCCUUGAUCCUGUUGCUAUUCUUCUUCUCAUCCAACGUCGUUUCUGCUGGAAUUUCUUACAUUCCAAAAACCAAAGAGAAAAGGAAUCACCAUGUGAAUAUGGAUAUUAUUAAAGGAAGGAAAAUAGGCGUACCAGUACCUUCUACACCUGGAGAUAGCCAUGGUAACGUAGGUUGAUGAUGAUGUAUCUGACUUCUUGGAGUUGGUACAAGGCACACUUGCUAGCUGGCCAGGCAUCCCAUAAAUCUUAAUGCAUGAUCAGUUUAUAUUUUUGUUUGCGAGAUUUUGUAGGUUGGAAUGUAGUUUAAUUGUAAAUAAUAUCCAUGUUGAGAUUUCAGCAUGAUGAUAAGGGAAUAGGUUGAUUUGUAUUAUGAUAAGCAGCAAUGUUAAUUUCGUGAGCAGACGAUCAAUAAAUUAAGGACUUCUCAAGGUAGGGGAGAGCUUUUUAUACA
Molecule: long non-coding RNA, 508 nt
Organism: Rosa chinensis
Lineage: Eukaryota; Viridiplantae; Streptophyta; Magnoliopsida; Rosales; Rosaceae
Exons: 3
Source: RefSeq, a predicted model, not a curated record